GUGCCCGUCCACCGAACGGUCGGCAGGCGAUCCGCGUCGGUCGCGCUGGGUGGUAUGGUUCCCCAGAGGCCGGUUCUUGUGCUGCCUACCCCUUCAGGGGAAGAGUUCCAAACUCGAUGUAAGCCUCCAUCCGGCGCCCUCCAAAGGGCGCGGGAGGACAACGGAGCACCCCCCGCGUUCCACCGAGCCUUCUCGGUCGCGUGGCCCGCGGGGACGUGCGAUGCUCUCGGACCCAGCGAACGCCGUGGGCGAGGACUCACGUCCCGGUCCCAAGUGAAGCAACGGUAUAACGCACGA
This 297-nucleotide unclassified non-coding RNA is filed under the name Acacia caesiella. Its description in RNAcentral is "partial external transcribed spacer". The record is from RNAcentral. Lineage: Eukaryota; Viridiplantae; Streptophyta; Magnoliopsida; Fabales; Fabaceae.